This 442-nucleotide ribosomal RNA is filed under the name uncultured bacterium. RNAcentral describes it as "bacterial SSU rRNA". It matches the Rfam family "Bacterial small subunit ribosomal RNA", at positions 30 to 507 of the family's 1533-position model. The record is from RNAcentral.
AUUGAACGCUGGCGGAAUGCUUUACACAUGCAAGUCGAACGGUAGAGGGGGCAACCCUUGAGAGUGGCGAACGGGUGAGUAAUAUAUCGGAACGUGCCCAGUCGUGGGGGAUAACGUAGCGAAAGUUACGCUAAUACCGCAUAUCCCCUGAGGGGGAAAGCAGAGAUGCGCCCACGGAGCAGCCUGCGUCCGAUUAGCUAGUUGGUUAGGUAAAGGCUGACCAAGGCGACGAUCGGUAGCUGGUCUGAGAGGAUGAUCAGCCACACUGGAACUGAGACACGGUCCAGACUCCUACGGGAGGCAGCAGUGGGGAAUAUUGGACAAUGGGCGCAAGCCUGAUCCAGCAAUUCCGCGUGGGUGAAGAAGGUCUUCGGAUUGUAAAGCCCUUUCGUUGGGGACGAUGAUGACGGUACCCAAAGAAGAAGCCCCGGCUAACUUCGUG